RNAcentral lists this long non-coding RNA (1406 nucleotides) under Homo sapiens (human). Its description in RNAcentral is "HSALNT0354373". Lineage: Eukaryota; Metazoa; Chordata; Mammalia; Primates; Hominidae. The record is from RNAcentral.
CAAAAAAAAAAAAAAAAAAAAACCUACAGGAAGCUGCUCUGAAGAGGAGAGCCAUGGGCCACAUGUCUUCAUUCCUUCAGUCUGCAUGGUUGAUUCUGGUCUUGUCGGGUUUAGAAAACAGCUUCAUUUAUUAACAGAAGGGCAUAGGGCUGAGAAUGGGCCCUCUGGAAGAAGGCAAUUUGAAAGAGAUAGGUCCUCAAGACCCCAGCCAAGAAACCUAAGGUGUCAGACCAGGCACUUGUCAAAGCAGGAAAUGAGACUUGUGUCAGGAGUGAGGGGGAGGCUGGGGUAUCAAUGAGUACAUCUUGUCCUAGAUGGAGGUGUUCUGUAGCAGCCCAGGGGCAGAGAGCUGACUCACCAGACAACAGACACAGUAGCAGUGACCAGCACAUGACUGCUCUCAGAGAGGAGACGGUAUUGGACUAUGCUUCUAAAUUAUGUACCACACUGCUGCAUUGAUUCAGGCCUUUGUUUGAAGAAUGUAUUGAGAUAUUGAGGGAAGCUGGCAUAUGAAGUGGAGAAGGAGGCAGAACUGGCCCUACAUGUGCACACACGAACACUGCCUUCUACUGAGAUUGCAAGGUGCCAUGGAAGUAUCCUGGGUCUUUGUAUGCAGCCUAGAAAGGAGGUCUUCGGGAUAUAAUUCAAUUUCAUGAUGCAAUUAAGAAAGAAGUCUAAACCAAAGGACACUUACCGCACUGCAGCAACAUGUGGCUAUUUAUCUAGCGUGAUUUCACAGAGAAUUUUUAGGUCAUCCAGGGUUUCUGUGCCUGUAGUUUUUCAUCUCUCAAAAUGGGAUUCCUGACUCAUAGUGUGGGGCGAGGCUGAAAAUGCAUGGUAUAUAUGGAAAUGCUUUCUAACUGGAAGGUGACUAAGGACACAGGUACUGUGGUGUGGUCCUCAGAGCAAAUCCUUUGUGCUUCUUUCUUUUUUAUUAUACUUUAAGUUCUGGGGUACAUGUGCAGAACGUCCAGUUUUUGUUACAUAGGUAUGCAUGUAUAGGUAUGCGUGUGUCAUGGUGGUUUGCUGUAACCAUCAACCUGUCAUCUACAUUAGGUAUUUCUCUUAAUGCUAUCCCUCCCCUAGCCCCCCACCCCCUGACAGGCCCCAGUGUGUGAUGUUCCACUCCCUGUGUCCAUGUGUUCUCAUUGUUCAACUCCCACUUAUGAGUGAGAAUAUGCAGUGUUUGUUUGGUUUUCUGUCCUUGUGUUAGUUUAGUGAGAAUGAUGGUUUCCAGCUUCAUCCAUGUCCCUGCAAAGGACAUGAACUCAUUAUUUUUUAUGGCUGCAUAGUAUUCCAUGGUGUAUAUGUGCCACACUUUCUUUAUCCAGUCUAUCAUUGAUGGGCAUUUGGGUUGGUUCCAAGUCUUUGCUAUUGUGAAUAGUGCUGCAAUAAACAUACGUGUG